GACGAACGCUGGCGGCGUGCCUAAUACAUGCAAGUUGAGCGCUCAAGAUUGAUGCUUGCCCCCACUUGAAGAGCAGCGAACGGGUGAGUAACGCGUGGAGACUCUCCCUUGAAGCGGGGGACAACAUUUGCAAACGACUGCUAGUACCGCAUAACAACUUUAACCCUACGCUUUAAGAUUGAAAGCUGCAAUUGCAUCACCCAAAGAUGCACCAGCGUUUUAUUAGCUAGUUGGUGCGGUAAAGGCGCACCAAGCCGAUGAUACAUAGCCGACCUGAGAGGGCGAUCGGCCACAUUUGGCCUGAGACACGGCCCACACUCCUACGGGAGGCAGCAGUAGGGAAUCUUCGGCCAUGGAAGCAAGUCUGACCGCGCCACGCCGCGUGAGUGAAGAAGGGGUUCGGAUCACAAAACUCUGUUCGUAGAGAAGAACGGUGGUGAGACAGGAAAGCUCAUCAAGUGACGGGAACGUCACAGAAAAGGAGGGCUAGCCACGUG
Molecule: ribosomal RNA, 497 nt
Filed under: uncultured bacterium
Lineage: Bacteria
Description: partial 16S ribosomal RNA
Rfam family: Bacterial small subunit ribosomal RNA
Source: RNAcentral